GACAGAGGCCCCGAGCGUUAGGCGGAAUCACUGGGCUUAAAGCGUGUGUAGGCGGAUCGUUAAGUGUCUUGUGAAAUCCCACGGCUCACCCGUGGAACUGCUGGGCAUACUGGCGAUCUUGGGCCACUCAGGGGCAGCUGGAACAAGCGGUGGAGCGGUGAAAUGCGUAGAUAUCGCUUGGAACGCCGAAGGUGAAAACAGGCUGCUGGGAGUGUGCCGACGCUGAGACACGAAAGCCAGGGGAGCAAACGGG
RNAcentral lists this ribosomal RNA (253 nucleotides) under uncultured bacterium. RNAcentral describes it as "partial 16S ribosomal RNA". It matches the Rfam family "Bacterial small subunit ribosomal RNA", at positions 524 to 776 of the family's 1533-position model. The record is from RNAcentral.